GCAGCCGCCGCGGUAAUACGGAGGGGGCUAGCGUUGUUCGGAAUUACUGGGCGUAAAGCGCGCGUAGGCGGUUAUUCAAGUCAGAGGUGAAAGCCCGGGGCUCAACCCCGGAACUGCCUUUGAAACUAGAUGACUAGAAUCUUGGAGAGGCGAGUGGAAUUCCGAGUGUAGAGGUGAAAUUCGUAGAUAUUCGGAAGAACACCAGUGGCGAAGGCGACUCGCUGGACAAGUAUUGACGCUGAGGUGCGAAAGCGUGGGGAGCAAACAGGAUUAGAUACCCGCGUAGUCCCUGUCUCUUAUAC
This 302-nucleotide ribosomal RNA is filed under the name uncultured bacterium. RNAcentral's name for it is "partial 16S ribosomal RNA". It matches the Rfam family "Bacterial small subunit ribosomal RNA", at positions 508 to 807 of the family's 1533-position model. The record is from RNAcentral.